RNAcentral lists this ribosomal RNA (651 nucleotides) under uncultured bacterium. RNAcentral describes it as "bacterial SSU rRNA". It matches the Rfam family "Bacterial small subunit ribosomal RNA", at positions 8 to 654 of the family's 1533-position model. The record is from RNAcentral.
AGAGUUUGAUCCUGGCUCAGAUUGAACGCUGGCGGCAUGCCUUACACAUGCAAGUCGAACGGCAGCACGGAGCUUGCUCUGGUGGCGAGUGGCGAACGGGUGAGUAAUAUAUCGGAACGUACCCUAGAGUGGGGGAUAACGUAGCGAAAGUUACGCUAAUACCGCAUACGAUCUAAGGAUGAAAGUGGGGGAUCGCAAGACCUCAUGCUCGUGGAGCGGCCGAUAUCUGAUUAGCUAGUUGGUAGGGUAAAAACCUACCAAGGCAUCGAUCAGUAGCUGGUCUGAGAGGACGACCAGCCACACUGGAACUGAGACACGGUCCAGACUCCUACGGGAGGCAGCAGUGGGGAAUUUUGGACAAUGGGCGAAAGCCUGAUCCAGCAAUGCCGCGUGAGUGAAGAAGGCCUUCGGGUUGUAAAGCUCUUUUGUCAGGGAAGAAACGGCGAAAGCUAAUAUCUUUUGCUAAUGACGGUACCUGAAGAAUAAGCACCGGCUAACUACGUGCCAGCAGCCGCGGUAAUACGUAGGGUGCAAGCGUUAAUCGGAAUUACUGGGCGUAAAGCGUGCGCAGGCGGUUUUGUAAGUCUGAUGUGAAAUCCCCGGGCUCAACCUGUGAAUUGCAUUGGAGACUGCAAGGCUAGAAUCUGGCAG